Molecule: ribosomal RNA, 1086 nt
Filed under: Triticum aestivum (bread wheat)
Lineage: Eukaryota; Viridiplantae; Streptophyta; Magnoliopsida; Poales; Poaceae
Description: partial small subunit ribosomal RNA
Source: RNAcentral
AUGGUGGCACAAGAAUCGGGCGUCUCUCCCAAACACAUCCUCGGCGUUCUUUACGGAUUCUCCAGCGGCGGUGUUGAUCUUCUGAAGACACAGGCGCACGCCAAUACGCGCACGGGCGUCGCCUUCGAAGCCGCAUGCACGUUCCUUAAGGAUCGUGAAAGUGAACUCGAGGGCUACGAGCCCGUGGCGUCGCACGGCGGCUUCGUCGCCCUCCGCCGCCGUCCAUCGCCGGCCGCAGUCGUCUUGCCUGGUCUCUCGCCGCCGCCCUCAGACCUCGUCGUGUGCAACCCUGUCACCGGGCAACACGUCUCGCUGCCGCGCCCGUCCAUCUGGGAUGAGUCCUUCGUGCUGCUAGCUCACGGGACGGGCUUCACCCUGCAGAUCGUGAACCUUGAACUGGCGGACGCCGGGAUGCUCCAGGUCCAGACCUUCUCGUCGGCCAAGGGCAAGUGGGAUGGCGUCGUGGCCACGUACGCCAACCUGCCCCUGGGCGCGCCGAGCAGGUUCGUCCGGCCUUCGCCGCUCGUCCUCGACGGGGUCGCGUACUGGCUCUGCAAGUCCGAGUCGAAGUCCCUCGGCUACCACGUCCUCGCGCUCCCUCUCGAUGGACAGCGGCAGCCGGCGCCGAUAAAGUUCCCGGACAAAGUUCCAAAAACACGAGGACGCGGCGACAACUUCAACACCGAGGACAUCCUCCUGGCAUCGACAACGGUGAACGGGACGCGGCGACUGACCCUGGCCGCGGUGGCAAAUGUCACCAUAUCUCUAUGGACGCUGGACGACGAUCAGGCAGAGAAGCCGGCGAGGUGGACGCGCCACAAGUGCUUCGACUUGUGGAACAUCACGUUGGAGCGAGAGGGCCCGCUGCCGGUGCGGGAGAAGGGAGACAGGGUGGCGCUGGAGUGCUUCUCAGAGUCAGGGGAGAGCGGCAGCCUGCUUUUCCACCAUCGCAUGCUCUACAGGAUCGACCUACAAUCCGACAAACAGACCGAAAAAGUUUCCGUCGCCGGCAUUUACUGCAAGCGGAGCUCCAGCAACAUGUGCGAGUACCAUACUGAUGAUGCAGCAGCCCUGCUCAAGACCUAA